Oncorhynchus mykiss (rainbow trout) is the source of this 58-nucleotide microRNA precursor. Lineage: Eukaryota; Metazoa; Chordata; Actinopteri; Salmoniformes; Salmonidae. The record is from Ensembl.
AGGUUGGGAGGGGUGUCAGUGCUGUUACUCUGAAGGUAUUGCACUUGUCCCGGCCUGU